AUGGGGGAGCCACUGUACCCUCCUAAAGCCUCUCAGCUAAGGUGCUAAUAUUAUUUCCCUGGGGACAGGUGGCUGAAGAAACCUUGAACACAUUGGGAGACCUCUUCUUUCUCUUAAAACCAACAAAGCUGAACUGUCAAUUAUGCUGGUUAAUCAGUCAUGUUCUGAUGAUGAGCAAAGCAGAUGUGAAGCCCUUCUACAUUAUUCAGUGUCUUUCCCGGCUCCUGGAAGCUGUUGCUGCCGGUGAGUGUGGGAGUGUGAAUCUAGCAUCGAAACUGGACGACCUCGUAGUGCUAUUGUCUUCACAGGUGAGCUCUGUGGGAAUCAAGGAAUCUGGGCCCCUUGGGUCUCUGUGAUCCCCACCUAGCCUAUGCCAGGCCUUUUGUGUCAUUCACCACAAUUUUUAUGGUCCUUAGGCCUACCUGACUAGGCAAAUGCAUGAACCCUGUGGAGCAGGACUGGAAUCCUUCCCCAAGCUAGGUUGGACAAAUUCCCAUGAGGCCAGACCAG
Molecule: long non-coding RNA, 510 nt
Filed under: Phascolarctos cinereus (koala)
Lineage: Eukaryota; Metazoa; Chordata; Mammalia; Diprotodontia; Phascolarctidae
Description: lncRNA (ENSPCIG00000033394.1)
Source: RNAcentral